Molecule: long non-coding RNA, 574 nt
Organism: Mangifera indica (mango)
Lineage: Eukaryota; Viridiplantae; Streptophyta; Magnoliopsida; Sapindales; Anacardiaceae
Exons: 3
Source: RefSeq, a predicted model, not a curated record
UAAAACAGAAGUCUUACCUUCUCUCCAUUGCCGGUGGUAACGAUUCUAUCUUCACUUUGUUUUCAUAAACGAGACGCAACAAUUUCAAAAUUAAUUUAUGAGUUUGCAGGUGUAAAUCGUGCAAUGGAGAAAACUGGAACUUUCACAAUGGAUUGGACAGAGCUCCUUCAACUUGUUGGCAAGGCUAGUUCAAAUCUUGCUGACGUUAUUUUCAAAGUUGGACUUUCCGAAAGCACAAUGUUCAUUUCCUCCAAGAAGUUUUCCAAAACAGAAGAUCAGAUCUUUUAGAAUGGUGUGUACUUUUCCUUCUGACUCUUGAGAAUGUGAUCUCAAUAUAUGAGAUUGUUCGCAAUUCAACUGGUGCUUCUCUGUGAUUUGACAAGGGAAUUAGAAAAUUUUAGGAUGACUGAAUGAGUUGAUUAUAGAAAAUUCAAUUGAAUUAUUGAACAAAUAAAUUUGUUAUUAAGUAUUUGUAUAGUGACUAUAUCAAAAUCACUUGAUUUAUAGGGAAACCAAUUAUUCAUUAUGUAAUUGUAAUAAUUCUCACAUUGCUGGAUGCUACUCCAAAAGAAUU